UCUUCUAUUUCUUUUGGUCCGGAC
RNAcentral lists this non-coding RNA (24 nucleotides) under Arabidopsis thaliana (thale cress). Lineage: Eukaryota; Viridiplantae; Streptophyta; Magnoliopsida; Brassicales; Brassicaceae. The record is from RNAcentral.